RNAcentral lists this long non-coding RNA (6183 nucleotides) under Lactuca sativa (garden lettuce). RNAcentral's name for it is "long non-coding RNA (LSAT_LNC008978)". The record is from RNAcentral. Lineage: Eukaryota; Viridiplantae; Streptophyta; Magnoliopsida; Asterales; Asteraceae.
UAUAUCCACGCGUUGGUAUUUACGAGUACUACAACUUUCAUUUAGAUCCCGUCGGCUAAAAAUCGACCGAUCUAAAAUUCAGAUUUCGGGCUGUGCACUGCUAUGCUAAAUCUUAGAAAAAUCAUAACUUCCUCAUACGAAGUCAGAUUUGGGCGUUCUUUUUAUUGAUGUUCUUAGUUUAACAUAUUCUACGACUUUCGUUUAGAUCGCUAAGGCUAAAUCUCGCUCUAUCAUAAAUUCACUAUUUACGUUUCCCGGUAUCGUGCCGGUUCCGUCGCGAAACUUCAACGGGUCAUAACUUUUUCGUUAUAACUCGGUUUUCGGCGUCCUUUAUAUGUACGAAAACCUUAUAACUCGGUUUUCGGCGUCCUUUAUAUGUACGAAAAGUCGUUUUCGACCCCUAUUGCCUCUAAUUUGACUAGCCCAGAUUUGCGGGCGUUACAAUUAUCUCCCCCUUAGGAUGAUUACGUCCCGGAAUCAUCAACGAAACAGGGUCGUAUAAUGACUCCAUACGUCAUCUCUUCAUCCUAGGUAAUAAUUAUAACUUCUACAUUCCUUCAAUUCUAUCUCUUAAACUCAUUGACUGUAAGAGUACUCGAUCGUGCACCUGCUCUCUACCUCAGGUUAGACUCCAAAUUAUGACCUUCAAGUCACAAUCUCGAUCCUUGCUGGAUACGGACUUGAGAUAAGUUCUUUUAUUACUACUAUAGAUCGAUGUGUCAUAUUCUAAUGACCUAUCAUCGUAUGUUGCAACACUUAGACUUAGGUCUCUUAGAGUUAAAUUCUAAAACAGACUAUGCCUUCCUUCAUGUUCUAAUGUGAUAUAAUCACACUUUAACAUUAGGCAUUUCUAGCCACCAACUUCUUUAACAACGAGUGCGAUACUUCUAUUGAUCGCUUUGAUUUCAACCGUUUGGUUUAAGUCAGACGCUACAUCAAACUUGGUUCUCUGAACCACACAACAUACUCAUCGUAGUCGGACUCGAUUCGAUAUGACCACUAGGGUCGGAAUAUCAACAAUCUUCUUAGUCAUUACCGAAACGAUGGUAACAACACACUUGAAUAAAACGAAAUCAAUUACUAGCUUCUUGGUAACCUUGUGACUUUCCCUGAUCCAAGUGUGAGUCCUGUGCUUCCGGUAGUAUAGGCCUCUACUACCAUUCACACCUACUCAUACUCGUCCCAAGUAUUGUCUCGCAGUUUCCCAAGUCACCAUGCAGCAAAUCACACAAUCAUUCGACACAUCAGAUAACAAAACGAAGGUUUUAUAUUAAUUCUUGAAACGAUUACAUAGGUGUUCAAGUUCACCCUAGACUAUGCCUCUACUAGGCUACAUCAUAAAAUACUAUGGCUACUACAUAACUUGCUCUUCUGAUAUGAAGUCCUCAUCCGUGAUUCCUCGCACGGUUUUCUGCUUCGUCGAGGAUCAUGUGAAAUGCCCUUGGCCUUGGUGGCGUUUCUGGUCUUACUGCUUUAUUUUUCUUUGGGCAGUCUCUGGACAUAUGCCCCUUGCCUCCACAUCCGUAGCAUACUUUAUCAUCAUGUGUGCAGUCUUUGGAAUAGUGGCCAGUCCUCCCACACUUGUAACAAGUCACUUCUUCAUUGCACUUCCCACCAUGCUUCUUCUUGCAUCUAUCACACCAUCUUGCUUCACCUCCAUCUGCUCCUCCAAGUUUUGAGAAUUUUCUUUCCUUGUUCGACCUCGAAGAUCCCUCAAACUUUCGCUUCUCUCCUGCCUUAUCUUUUUCUAGACCCUUUUCUCUUAUCUGGGCCUCUACGUUCUUAGCUGCCCUAACAGCUGCUUUCAAGGUAGUUGCCAUUUUGACCAUUGGGCCAAAGUCAGUGGGCAGUCCGUUAGCAAACCUAUCAAUCUUGGAGAGUUCAGUAGGCACCAAGUAGGGGAAUAGCUUCAUCCUCUCGGUGAAUGCGGUGGCAUACUCAUCAACACUCAUCUUCCCUUUCUUCAGGUUCUGAAACUCGUUGUUUAGGUCUAUCAGAUCUACCUCUGAGCAGUACUGCAUUUUCAACUGUUCCAAAAACUCUUCCCACGACAUCCUUAAGGCUUCUCCUCGUGGCAUCGUAUCUGCCAAUAGCUUCCACCAGCUCAAGACUCCAGUUUUCAGUUGUCUUACAGCGAAGACAGUCUUCUGUUUCUCGUUACAGCUGCAGCUCUCAAACACCAUCUCCAUCUCAGAGAUCCAAUCCAUAAUCUCAACCGGCUUCGGGCUUCCUGAGAGACUUGGGGGUUUCGCACCCAAGAAAUUCUUGUACAUCCGCCCAUCCUUGUUGUUUCUCCCUUCUGGGCCAUCCCUUUGCUCACCUUGAGUCCCAACUUGACUCACUUGGCGGCUGUAGUUCCCUUCCUCAGAUUGCUCGGGAAUCAGUUCGGGUUGCUCAAUGGGCAUAGUAGGUUCGUCCCUAUUCAACAUCCGUCUCAUUUCUUCCCUUUGUUCAGCCAACAUAGCCCGAAUCAUGGCUUGAACUCCAGCCAUGGUGACUGGCUCAGGCGCAACUUCUUCUACAACAGGUAUUUGCUGAACCACUGGGGGUUGGUUCCUGUUCCCAUUUGCGUUUACGUUUCCGCUACGGGUCCUUACCAUCUCGAUCUAUACACCGAAUAAGGUGAAUUUAGACCUUUACUUGACGUUUAAAUCAUCCUUAUCACUCCGAAACGUUUACAUGCUAGUUCUAAUACCGUAGUCGUACGUUUAGAAUCCUAAACACAUAAGGUUUCCAGAUCCGGUCGGCAACAGACCAUAGAUCCGAACAAUUAACAACAUAUCAUGCACAAAGCAUUUAGCACAUAAAAGCAUUUUAGGCACAAUUCCUAAAAUAAGCUAGUGCUCACACCUCACAAUCAUCGCUUAGCAUUCUAAGUUUAAGUCUAGAAAUAAAUCCAUAUUCCUAGUUCGCUUAAACUAAUGCUCUGAUACCAACUGUGACAUCCCCAAAAUCACGGCCAGAAAAGACCGAUUUUGUUUAUGCUUUAUAAAAAUCAGAGUACUUCAUUUUAUAAAAAGGUUGCGGAAUUUGUUCCCAGAAAAACAUGGUAAAUACGUUAUUAAAACAUUUUCGAAGAAACGUAUUUAUUUCAUUUUAAAAUGUUUGGGAUGUCAUCGUUAAUACCGAAACAUAAGCAUAAACAGACUUACAAUGAUUUACACUAGUGAUCUACAUCUCUUUUAAAUCUCUCAGUGUAAUGUCACUUCACUUCGUCACCUGUGAUAUACAUAAACUGAGUGGGUCAGGUUGGGAAACCUGGUGAGUACAUAGGGUUUUCAACCCACAAUAAUAUAAUUAUUAUGUUCAAUCAAACAAUCAACCCAAUUACCCAUCCCCAUUAUCUUCUUUACUCUUUAAGGAUUUAACCUAAGAGUCAUCUAUCCUGCAUUCGUUUAUUCCGAAGUCCCUUACUUCCAGGGUUAUGGGACUGGCACUAAAUCCAUAGCUGCCAAUGUUCGUUCAUAAAGCACUAAUUCCAUAGCUGCUAUAGUCUAUUCAUCGGGUACUAAAUCCAUAGCUACCAGUCUUUAUCUAAUAGGUACUAAGUCCAUAGCUACCAAUGUUCAACAGGUACUAAGUCCAUAGCUACCAAUUCCUACAGGUACUAAAUCCUUAGCUACCAGCGUCUAACUAAUAGGUACUAAGUCCAUAGCUACCAAUUCCCAACAGGUACUAAAUCCAUAGCUACCAACGUCUAAAAGGUACUAAGUCCAUAGCUACCGGUGUUUGUCCCAUAGGCACUAAGUCUAUAGCUGCCAAUGUAUACUCACGUCAUCUUCUAUCUCUCAUCAUUCAUCUACCCAUCUCAUACCCAACAUUUUCGUAUAUAUAAAAUACGUAUACAGUUUAAGUCCUUUAAAACAUGUAUAAAACGUUCAACCAGCAUAGACAGCAAGUAUUCAGAUAAUGUGCACACAUAGCACGUAGUUUAUAUAAAAUACUUCAUAUCUAUGUGUAAGAUGAAAGGGACUAUGCACUCACCUGAAAGGUGGUGAGUCGGCACUCGGACAGCACUUCGUUACUCUUAAAACAAUUAUCCCUUGACGAAACCUAGUAUCAUUACCACUAGAGUUUAGUCUAACGCUUGACGAGACUAAUUUAAUAGUCUAGCUAUUAUUACUAUUAUAUAAGCGUUAAAUAACACUCAAUAUAACUCAUAAUAAUAGCCUAAAUAAUUAUUUUAAGGUCCUAACAAUGUUACUAUAAUUAAAUAAAAUCUAUAUUAAAUAUACUAUAGGCGUAGCUCACUUACAGCGGGUUUUUAUUAAAAACCGGGCUUCGCUGGAGCAGCGUUUCCGAGCCGAAAGCUUUUCUUCUCGGAGCCGUCGGGCGCUCCGGGGCUUUCUUCUCGUGAUAGGGAGGUUCCCUAGACUUGGGAGGGGUUUAGGGAGGCUAGAGAGAAGUUAGAGAGAGAAAGAAAGGCUUAUGGUGUGAAGAAAAUAUGAGGAGUUCACCCUUGUAUUUAUAGGAAGUGUAUAGUAAAGUAGUCUCCAAGCUUCGUCCGUAACUUUUGCAUACGAGCUCCGUUUUUGUCUGUCUUUUUACUGUUGAGUUCCUAUUAAUGAGAUCUUCAACUUUCAUUUAGACCUCGUUGGCUAAUUCUCAUUCUAUCUCGGAUUUACAAAACUGUAUCAAAUUCGCCGCGCUCGAAAAGUAGGGACUAAGCUUCGUCCAUAACUUUCGCAUACGAGCUCCAUUUUUGUCUGUCUUUUUACCGUUGAGUUCCUAUUAAUGAGAUCUUCAACUCUCAUUUAGACCUCGUUGGCUAAUUCUCAUUCUAUCUCGUAUUUACAAAACUGUAUCGAAUUCGCCGCGCUCGAAAAGUAGGGACUAAGCUUCGUCCAUAACUUUUGCAUACGAGCUCUAUUAUCGACGUUCUUUAUAUCCACGCGUUGGUAUUUACGAGUACUACAACUUUCAUUUAGAUCCCGUCGGCUAAAAAUCGACCGAUCUAAAAUUCAGAUUUCGGGCUGUGCACUGCUAUGCUAAAUCUUAGAAAAAUCAUAACUUCCUCAUACGAAGUCAGAUUUGGGCGUUCUUUUUAUCGAUGUUCUUAGUUUAACAUAUUCUACGACUUUCGUUUAGAUCGCUAAGGCUAAAUCUCGCUCUAUCGUAAAUUCACUAUUUACGCUUCCCGGUAUCGUGCCGGUUCCGUCGCGAAACUUCAACGGGUCAUAACUUCUUCGUUAUAACUCGGUUUUCGGCGUUCUUUAUAUGUACGAAAACCUUGUAACAUACUCUACAACUUGGUUAAGAUUAUUUAUUCUAAAUAAUCUUUUGUCGAAAAGUCGUUUUCGACCCCUAUUGCCUCUAAUUUGACUAGCCCAGAUUUGCGGGCGUUACAAUUAUCUCCCCCUUAGGAUGAUUACGUCCCGGAAUCAUCAACGAAACAGGGUCGUAUAAUGACUCCAUACGUCAUCUCUUCAUCCUAGGUAAUAAUUAUAACUUCUACAUUCCUUCGAUUCUAUCUCUUAAACUCAUUGACUGUAAGAGUACUCGAUCGUGCACCUGCUCUCUACCUCAGGUUAGACUCCAAAUUAUGACCUUCAAGUCACAAUCUCGAUCCUUGCUGGAUACGGACUUGAGAUAAGUUCUUUUAUUACUACUAUAGAUCGAUGUGUCAUAUUCUAAUGACCUAUCAUCGUAUGUUGCAACACUUAGACUUAGGUCUCUUAGAGUUAAAUUCUAAAACAGACUAUGCCUUCCUUCAUGUUCUAAUGUGAUAUAAUCACACUUUAACAUUAGGCAUUUCUAGCCACCAACUUCUUUAACAACGAGUGCGAUACUUCUAUUGAUCGCUUUGAUUUCAACCGUUUGGUUUAAGUCGGACGCUACAUCAAACUUGGUUCUCUGAACCACACAACAUACUCAUCGUAGUCGGACUCGAUUCGAUAUGACCACUAGGGUCGGAAUAUCAACAAUCUUCUUAGUCAUUACCGAAACGAUGGUAACAACACACUUGAAUAAAACGAAAUCAAUUACUAGCUUCUUGGUAACCUUGUGACUUUCCCUGAUCCAAGUGUGAGUCCUGUGCUUCCGGUAGUAUAGGCCUCUACUACCAUUCACACCUACUCAUACUCGUCCCAAGUAUUGUCUCGCAGUUUCCCAAGUCACCAUGCAGCAAAUCACACAAUCAUUCGACACAUCAGAUAACAAAACGAAGGUUUUAUAUUAAUUCUU